AACGAACGCUGGCGGCAGGCUUAACACAUGCAAGUCGAGCGCCCCGCCAGGGGAGCGGCAGACGGGUGAGUAACGCGUGGGAACGUACCUUUUGGUUCGGAACAACUCCGGGAAACUGGAGCUAAUACCGGAUAAGCCCUAACGGGGAAAGAUUUAUCGCCGAAAGAUCGGCCCGCGUCUGAUUAGCUAGUUGGUGAGGUAACGGCUCACCAAGGCGACGAUCAGUAGCUGGUCUGAGAGGAUGAUCAGCCACACUGGGACUGAGACACGGCCCAGACUCCUACGGGAGGCAGCAGUGGGGAAUAUUGGACAAUGGGCGCAAGCCUGAUCCAGCCAUGCCGCGUGAGUGAUGAAGGCCUUAGGGUUGUAAAGCUCUUUUGUCCGGGAAGAUAAUGACUGUACCGGAAGAAUAAGCCCCGGCUAACUUCGU
Molecule: ribosomal RNA, 430 nt
Filed under: uncultured bacterium
Lineage: Bacteria
Description: partial 16S ribosomal RNA
Rfam family: Bacterial small subunit ribosomal RNA
Source: RNAcentral